This 253-nucleotide ribosomal RNA is filed under the name uncultured bacterium. Its description in RNAcentral is "partial 16S ribosomal RNA". It matches the Rfam family "Bacterial small subunit ribosomal RNA", at positions 524 to 776 of the family's 1533-position model. The record is from RNAcentral.
GACAGAGGGUGCAAACGUUGUUCGGAAUUACUGGGCGUAAAGCGCACGUAGGCGGACAUUUAAGUCAGGGGUGAAAUCCCAGAGCUCAACUCUGGAACUGCCUUUGAUACUGGGGAUCUUGAGUUCGGGAGAGGUGAGUGGAACUGCGAGUGUAGAGGUGAAAUUCGUAGAUAUUCGCAAGAACACCAGUGGCGAAGGCGGCUCACUGGCCCGAUACUGACGCUGAGGCACGAAAGCGUGGGGAGCAAACAGG